RNAcentral lists this non-coding RNA (108 nucleotides) under Candidatus Gallispira edinburgensis. RNAcentral describes it as "FMN riboswitch (RFN element)". It matches the Rfam family "FMN riboswitch aptamer (RFN element)". Rfam says of the family: The RFN element is a highly conserved domain that is found frequently in the 5'-untranslated regions of prokaryotic mRNAs that encode for flavin mononucleotide (FMN) biosynthesis and transport proteins. This element is a metabolite-dependent riboswitch that directly binds FMN in the absence of proteins. In Bacillus subtilis, the riboswitch most likely controls gene expression by causing premature transcription termination within the 5' untranslated region of the ribDEAHT operon and precluding access to the ribosome-binding site of ypaA mRNA. The record is from RNAcentral. Lineage: Bacteria; Bacillati; Bacillota; Clostridia.
AUCUUCAGGGAUUUGUGAAAUUCAAUACCGGCGGUAAAGCCCGCGAGCCUUAUGGCAUGAUUCGGUGUAACUCCGAAGCCGACAGUAAAGUCUGGAUGUGAGAAGAUU